CCUACGGGCGGCAGCAGUGAGGAAUCUUCCACAAUGGGCGAAAGCCUGAUGGAGCAACGCAGCGUGGGUGAAGAAGGUCUUCGGAUCGUAAAACCCUGUUUUUAGAGAAGAAAGUGCGUGAGAGUAACUGUUCACGUUUCGACGGUAUCUAACCAGAACGCCACGGCUAACUACGUCCCAGCAGCCGCGGCAAUACGUAGGUGGCAAGCGUUAUCCGGAUUUAUUGGGUGUAAAGGGAGCGCAGGUGGUCUUUUAAGUCUGAUGGGAAAGCUUUCGGCUUAACCGGAGAAUUGCAUUGGAAACUGGCAGACUUGAGUACAGAAGAGGAGAGUGGAACUCCAUGUGUAGCGGUGAAAUGCGUAGAUAUAUGGAAGAACACCGGUGGCGAAGGCGGCUCUCUGGACUGUAACUGACGCUGAGGUUCGAAAGCGUGGGUAGCAAACAGGAUUAGAUACCCUAGUAGUC
Molecule: ribosomal RNA, 465 nt
Filed under: uncultured bacterium
Lineage: Bacteria
Description: partial 16S ribosomal RNA
Rfam family: Bacterial small subunit ribosomal RNA
Source: RNAcentral